UAUCCAUUGUGGGAAGCUACCCCGUCGCGGGCCUGCCUUCCCAUUACUCAAUUCGCGCGGCGGACGAGCGCGCGAGCCGGCAUUGCAGUCGCCGUCCAGCGAGGAGUAAGCUCGCGAGUGUGAAUCAAACCGACUGAAAUCGUCGUCCGACGGCGGAGUGCACGAGAAAAGUUUCGAAAACGACGCAAAACACAAGCAAAUCAUACCAUCCGAAUUUUGUUUACACUAGGCGAAUUGCAGAAUGCCCAACCGGCUUCUUAUCGCGCGUCUUAUCAGACUUCGUACAGCGCAUUGAGACAUCAAGUAUCAACAAACCAACAAAAGUAAAUCUUGUGAAUGCUUUGAUCUGCAGGAGUCUUGGCGUCUCCAUGCCUUGACAAUUAUCGGUGAUACGAAGAUAACAUGAUUGCAACUAACCUGACAGCGGAUGAGUUAACGCAGACAUCUGUCCGCUGGCACCAUGCAAAAGAUACGCUUGCGGAGCCCUCCGCCGCCGGACACCGCGCACACACACACCGCUCGCUCGCCUGCACUCUGACGGGGCCUCGCCUCCAUACGCCGCUGCACGGGGACGGCGGCGAUCGCUGGUGGCACUUUGGGGCGGCCGUUUGUGUGUUUACAACCGACACAGAAGGACCGCCAUACUAGUCACUAGAAAAAUGUAACCGUGCUAGAGGUUGUGCGCGGGGCCGGGGUGGGGGAUGGUUGCGGGUGCGACGGGGAGCGACGACGACCAUCAACGACCAUCUUUGCUCGCAGGCACAGCGUUGCCAAGUCAGCGCACGCGGCUUCGAUCCGCCGCGCGCGGCAGGAGAUGUUUCGCUAGGUGAAAAUAUUUGAAUUUACUAAUAGCACAACUUUUGUUUCAGGUUUUCCGUUAAUUAUCUCACCUCAUCAUUAACGAAUUCAUGAACUGCUUUCGUUUGUAAACUGGUUGCCUGCCGAAAAUAAAUAGAAUAUUAAAAUGAAA
This is a long non-coding RNA of Dalotia coriaria, 970 nucleotides long. RefSeq lists it as uncharacterized. Lineage: Eukaryota; Metazoa; Arthropoda; Insecta; Coleoptera; Staphylinidae. The transcript is spliced from 2 exons. The record is from RefSeq and is a predicted model, not a curated record.